UACAGGGGGUGCAAACGUUGCUCGGAAUUAUUGGGCGUAAAGCGCGCGUAGGCGGCUACUUAAGUCGGAUGUGAAAGCCCCUGGCUCAACUGGGGAAGUGCACCCGAAACUGAGUAGCUUGAGUGCAAAAGAGGGCCGCGGAAUUCCCGGUGUAGAGGUGAAAUUCGUAGAUAUCUGGAGGAACACCGGUGGCGAAGGCGACGUCCUGGACCGGUAUUGACGCUGAGGCGCGAAAGCCAGGGGAGCAAACGGG
This 253-nucleotide ribosomal RNA is filed under the name uncultured bacterium. Its description in RNAcentral is "partial 16S ribosomal RNA". It matches the Rfam family "Bacterial small subunit ribosomal RNA", at positions 524 to 776 of the family's 1533-position model. The record is from RNAcentral.